This 69-nucleotide transfer RNA is filed under the name Marmota marmota marmota (Alpine marmot). It matches the Rfam family "tRNA". Rfam says of the family: Transfer RNA (tRNA) molecules are approximately 80 nucleotides in length. Their secondary structure includes four short double-helical elements and three loops (D, anti-codon, and T loops). RNAcentral also lists the same sequence under 3 other names. Lineage: Eukaryota; Metazoa; Chordata; Mammalia; Rodentia; Sciuridae. The record is from Rfam by way of RNAcentral.
GGGGUUGUAGCUCAGUGGUAGAGCGCUUACCUAGCACAGGUAAGGCACUAGGUUCAAUCCUCAGCAUCA